RNAcentral lists this microRNA precursor (145 nucleotides) under Oryza meridionalis. Its description in RNAcentral is "pre miRNA MIR396". Lineage: Eukaryota; Viridiplantae; Streptophyta; Magnoliopsida; Poales; Poaceae. The record is from RNAcentral.
UGCCAUGCCUUUCCACAGCUUUCUUGAACUUCUCUUGUGCCUCACUCACUUUCAUUAUUACUGGAGAGACAUCAUCUGUGGAAGCUUAUAGGGAGAGGAGAUCGAGCAAGAAGAGGGUCAAGAAAGCUGUGGGAAGAAAUGGCAU